RNAcentral lists this ribosomal RNA (850 nucleotides) under uncultured Actinomycetes bacterium. RNAcentral describes it as "bacterial SSU rRNA". It matches the Rfam family "Bacterial small subunit ribosomal RNA", at positions 422 to 1289 of the family's 1533-position model. The record is from RNAcentral. Lineage: Bacteria; Bacillati; Actinomycetota; Actinomycetes.
UUUGUAAACCGCUUUCAGUAGGGAAGAAGCGAAAGUGACGGUACCUACAAAAGAAGCACCGGCUAACUAUGUGCCAGCAGCCGCGGUAAUACAUAGGGUGCAAGCGUUGUCCGGAAUUAUUGGGCGUAAAGAGCUCGUAGGUCGUUUGUUACGUCGGAUGUGAAAACCUGAGGCUCAACCUCAGGCCUGCAUUCGAUACGGGCAAACUAGAGUUUGGUAGGGGAGACUGGAAUUCCUGGUGUAGCGGUGGAAUGCGCAGAUAUCAGGAGGAACACCAAUGGCGAAGGCAGGUCUCUGGGCCAAUACUGACACUGAGGAGCGAAAGUCUGGGGAGCGAACAGGAUUAGAUACCCUGGUAGUCCAGACCGUAAACGGUGGGCACUAGUUGUGGGAACCUUCCACGGUUUCUGCGACGCAGCUAACGCAUUAAGUGCCCCGCCUGGGGAGUACGAUCGCAAGAUUAAAACUCAAAGGAAUUGACGGGGCCCCGCACAAGCAGCGGAGCAUGCGGCUUAAUUCGACGCAACGCGAAGAACCUUACCAAGGCUUGACAUAUAGGGAAAAGUGGCAGAGAUGUCAUGUCCGCAAGGGCUCUAUACAGGUGGUGCAUGGUUGUCGUCAGCUCGUGUCGUGAGAUGUUGGGUUAAGUCCCGCAACGAGCGCAACCCUCGUUCUGUGUUGCCAGCAUUUAGUUGGGGACUCACAGGAGACUGCCGGGGUUAACUCGGAGGAAGGUGGGGAUGACGUCAAAUCAUCAUGCCCCUUAUGUCUUGGGCUGCACGCAUGCUACAAUGGCCGGUACAGAGGGCUGCAAUACCGUAAGUGGAGCGAAUCCCAAAAAGCCGGUCUC